CUGGCUCUGAACUCAAUCUGACUGAUCAUUAGUUUUGUUUUGUUGUUUCAUCUCAUACCGAUCGUUCCUCAUCCUUUCUUUUUUCGAUCUUUCUUCAUCCUUCGUCCUCAUCUGAAAGCCAAGGGUUGGUGGUUCUUCAACCUGAGGAAGGUCUUUCUUUCAUUUUCGAUCUUCCAUCAUCUAUUCAUGGAUAGAAAAAUCAACUCUUUUUUGUUUCUUCUUCUUCUCCCUGGGGCUUUCCUUCAUGCUGGGGUGACCCAAGGACUGGCCCUAAUGAGAACAGUCGGAUGGAGGCCGAUGAUUGGGAGGACUUCAUCCGACUGA
Molecule: long non-coding RNA, 324 nt
Filed under: Elaeis guineensis (African oil palm)
Lineage: Eukaryota; Viridiplantae; Streptophyta; Magnoliopsida; Arecales; Arecaceae
Description: long non-coding RNA (EGUI_LNC049376)
Source: RNAcentral